UCCUGCCAGUUGUCAUAUGCUUGUCUAAAAUAUUAAGCCAUGCAAGUGUAAGUAUAAAUAGACAAAUUAUUGUACUAUGAGACUGCGAAUGGCUCAUUAAAUCAGCAAUCAUUUAUUCGGUGGAUGAAGUAAUUCUAAAAUGGAUAACCGUGGGAAAUCUAGAGCUAAUACAUGCAAAAGAGAAUUCUUUGAAAAAGGAAUGCAUAUAUUAGAUACAAAUCCAAAAAAUACAAAAGGUGAAUCAUAAUAUUUAUAGCAAAUUAUACAGAGGAAGUAAUUCUUUUCUUGAUAAUAAACCGAUCAAAAUUUCUGCCCUAUCAUACUUUGGACGGUAAUGUAGUGGAUUACGGUGGUGAUGACGGGUAACGGAGAAUUAGGGUUUGAUUCCGGAGAGGGAGCAUGAGAAAUGGCUACCACUUCCAAGGAAGGCAGCAGGCG
This 438-nucleotide ribosomal RNA is filed under the name uncultured eukaryote. RNAcentral describes it as "bacterial SSU rRNA". It matches the Rfam family "Eukaryotic small subunit ribosomal RNA", at positions 12 to 434 of the family's 1831-position model. The record is from RNAcentral.